Molecule: long non-coding RNA, 433 nt
Organism: Oncorhynchus tshawytscha (Chinook salmon)
Lineage: Eukaryota; Metazoa; Chordata; Actinopteri; Salmoniformes; Salmonidae
Source: Ensembl
GCUGAAAUGAGUUCAAUGGAAUACAUUGUCUUUCCGUUGCAUCUCUAAGAACGAUAAAGUUUAAUCUGGGAUUUAACGCUCCGUUUAGAAACUUAUCCUGCUAUUGACACACUUGUUGAAUUAUACAACAGUAAUUAAUGAUGCUAGACAGCGCAGGUGGGUGCAGGUAGGGAAGACUGAGCAGGUGGGUGCAGGUAGGGAAGACUGUGCAGGUAGGGAAGACUGUGCAGGUAGGGAAGACGGUGCAGGUGGGUGCAGGUAGGGAAGACGGUGCAGGUAGGGAAGACGGUGCAGGUAGGGAAGACGGUGCAGGUAGGGAAGACGGUGCAGGUAGGGAAGACGGUGCAGGUGGGUGCAGGUAGGGAAGACGGUGCAGGUGGGUGCAGGUAGGGAAGACGGUGCAGGUAGGGAAGACGGUGCAGGUGGGUGCAGG